AAAAACAAUGCUUUAAUCAUUAAACUUUUCCUACCAAAACCAUAUAAUUAAUUUAAAAUUUCUUCUGAAAUCAAAUAUUACAUAACAUGCCCUUUCAUCUAUCUUUCUCAUUUUUUUUUAUUUCCUCCUCCUCUGAUUUUGAUCGUCUCAAAUUCGCUUUUUCAGCGCACAUUCAUAUAUAUUGCAUGUGUUGUAGUCUAGUCAUUGCAAUAAAAUUAAAAGUACACCUUUAUCCGCAACCAAAAAAAAGAGAAAAAUAUAAUUUAAUGAUGGAAGAGAAGUGAAAUCUUGGCAACAACUUGUAGAAAGAGAGAGAAAAAGUAAAACAAGCAGAUAGUGGACUUGAAUAGGAUUAGCGGCCUUAUUUAAGUCUACGCCGCAAAUUAUCCUAAACCAGGGCAUUUUGGUUGGUUAUCUUGAGGUCUUCUUGGCAAAUCCAAGUACAUGAAAUUCUUUUGCUUGUCUUUUCUUCUUUUUUAAGUGUGCUUUGAAUUCUUUGAUCCACGGAGCUUCAUGAUUCAAUUGGACAAAUUUGGAGGAAGAAAUGCUGAUGGGGAACCUUUUGUGAGGUUUGUAGUGGUUGUGGAGGUUUGGAACCCAUCGGUCCAAUCUCGAAGCCCACCCUUGACACUUGAUCUUGAUGUCCAUCCUUUUUUGCCACAUUACAAGUAUGGGAGAUGAGGUGUGUUGGGAUCAGGGUUUCAUCGAGAGGCAACAUGAUUCUUGUAUUCCAUCAUUUUGAUUCUAGUGGAAUCUCUUUUCUAUCCUGUGGACAUAGGCUUCUGGACGAACUAUUUAUGCGUGUGCUGCAUUCUUUUUUCUCUCUAUUUUUUUGAAUGUUUUCAUUCUUCAUCCGUUUGAGUGCCCUAAGGACCUUGAUUUAUCAAGGUCUGUUCUAACAUUCUAUAUUGAUAUGAUUUGGUAUCCAUUCCAUUCGAUUUGAAAAGACACAAUGGAGCUAACCAAAAUCAAAUAUUAGAGCAAUUUGGUUGCUCAACAUACUUGCCUAAUUACAUCCAUCCUUUACUCAACCUGGCUGCUCUAUUGCCCAAAAAGAGAGCCAUUUCACUUGUAGUUCAUUCAUGUUUUUUAUUAUUCUGGAUUUAAUAUUAGACAUUGUUUUGGUUUCUGUGUUUCUUUCUUUUCUUUUUAUCGCAAAGAAGCAUGGUUUGAAUUUUCUGAAGAACAGACUCCCCACAAAUAAGUUCUGAAAAAUAGACAGCGAAAACAUCAAAGACAUCCUCUGAGAAGUUUACCUCUCAAAAGGAAACAUUUUAUCUUUAAUUUAAUUAACUAUGUGACUGAUUCAAUUCAACUUACCACCAACAAACGCAACUUUUUAAUUUGUUUAUCCAUGAGGAAAUCCUUCAUGGAGAUUCUUGAAAAGGUUUGUUGACAACUAUAGAUAUCCGAUCCAGCAGGACAUUCUACCUUUGAAGCCGUUGAGUACAAUAUUAUGAACGUUAGCAUCUAGUGUUUGUCUCAAGCGGCUUCUAACGCUACUUUCUUGGACAAGAUCCGCAGUUCCUGUAAUUUAUGGGAACCGUUCUUGAAUUCCUCAAGGCUGUCUUCUACAUCAAUUGAAACUUAACGAAGAACAUUUUUCAAGUCAACAUGGCUCUACCUAUAUUAACUAAUCCUGCACAAACAAAAAAACCUGCUCUAACCUUUCUUUUUUUUUUUCCGGUAAAACCUGCUCUUACCUUGCAGUUGGAUGGCUAAUGAAUACCUAAUCCCUUUGACCUCGCGCCCAACUGAUUCACCUAUCUGGAUUUUUAACUGUGCAAGGGAACGUGUUACCUUGACGCUAUGAUUGAAAGUAAUAAAAAAAGUUUAAUUAUAUAAAAAAUUUUAAUUCUUUUUGAAUUUUUUUAAUUUCAUUUUAAAUUUUUAUUUAAAACAAUUAGACCAUCCAAUUUUUAAAUUGGUCUAAUUCGAACUCUGUCUGCAAUUUUUGUUGCCUUGCCGUGGUGGAGUUGUCAUAUAACAAAGCUUUGAAACAUUUAAAAGGAGGUUAUAUAAGUAGGUUGUAUGACAUAACGUGACAAUUUUGUCACAGAUCAAUGAAAGUUACUGUCAAGAUUUAAACUGAAUUAAUUUGAAAGAUGGAUGAUUGAUUGCACUAAAUAAAAAUUCGAAAUGAAAUUAAAAUUUUUUAAAAAAUCAGUAUUUUUUUACAUAAUUAAGCCUUAACAAAAGUUAUCUUUAAAAGAUUUUUUUAAAAAAAAAUAAUGCUCAUGGUAUUUUUUGUCAUUUUCUUGAGUGGCAAUAUGACAUUUUUUAUAAAGUAAUCGUAUUGGUUAAGCUUUUUUAUUUUUUAUUUUUGGUUGGUGUUCGAACCGGCAGCCGGGACUUUGGAGUACAAGCAACCAAUACCAUCGGCCAAUAACAACUCUGUAACAACAGAACGUCCAUAACUUACCCAAAUAAUCCUAUUGAUGUAGUGUUCAAUCUCUGUUAGUUAAGAAUGUUCGAUGGAGGUCCAUAACUUAUCCCAAAUAAUCCUAUUGAUUAAGUGUUCAAUCUCUGUUAGUUAAGAAUGUUCUUUGGAUCGAUGGUAAUUGGUAACACAUGUUAUCCUAGUUAACACCUUGAUAUAAACUGGUAAAAUUAGCAUGGUUCUCAGGCUGAUUGAAAUUCUAGUGGCACUAGUUCUAUGUGAUUUUGGUCUAAACCCCCCUCCAUUAAUAAAAUAAUCUUGGCAUAAAUAUGUACCAACCUUAUUGCUUUCUUUUCCAUUACACUCAAUGAUGCAAUGAAAUGAAGCUUUUAGGUCGGAAUGCAACAUAUUCUUUGGGGGCAGGUAAAUUAGUUCUCUUCCAUAGGCCCAGGGCUUACCUACUAAAUAUCAUGCCAUACCUUGGAAGGCAAGGUUGGCUCAUCUGAUUGGAAAUUUUGGUGCUUUUGAACACUAUGCUUUCCUCACUCAAUAGACCAAUGCCAAGAUGGCAAUUUCAUCUGAUGUUACCACGCUUUAUGGUAGAAAAUUCUCGUUGGAAAGAAAAAAGUUAUCUCAUUAUUAAUUUGAUCAUUUCUCUUUGAAAAAGAGCACCUGUAUUAUUUCAAAGUGCACGAGAACAAAUCGCUGCUAAGACUAGCGAUCAACUUGCGUCUGCUCGCAGGGACAGAGAUCAGGACCUAUAAGCUGUUUGGCUUUUGCUACGGUCAAUGGCUUGUAGCCAAAGGAAUGGUUGCUACCUGCUUAGUAACUAAUAAUGUGACAUUUGUUUCAAAAGCGCAGAGGAAAAAUAUCAUCAAUUAGAAGGAUAUACCUCUUCAGCUUAUUUUUUUCUCACCUAGCUGAUGUUACAUUGGAAGAUGCCUUUAUUGCAAGAUGAGCCUAAAAACUAACAAGGUUCCAAGCCAUUCAACUCAUCAUUUCCAAGCCUUCAAAUGCAGAAAACUAUCCCUUUCACUUUCUCUUUUUUCAUGUUACAAGCCACCUCCUACUCCAACUAACUUAUUUUCAAGUAAUUAUAAACCGUUUCAUCAGAUACUUUUCAUCAACACUUCUUUCUUGUUUUUUUUUGGAUGUGGAUCUUCUCAAUUUGCAUGACACAAUAGGCUAGAUAUAAGAGAAAGCAACAAAAUAUAAACUGUAUAACAAAACUAAAAAAUGGGGUAUUGGUACAAAGAAAAUCCAAUUAAGGUUUUACACAAGCCUUCUAUUUGUAUACAUUGAAUCAUCAGUCUUUUGCAAGUAUAACAAUUUCAUGAAACCAUUGUAUAGCUUUCUAUGCACAAAAAAUGCCUCCUCAUGCUUGGACCCUCUAUUUAUGAUGCAUUCGACCCUGAUAUUUGGCUGCAAGAGCGAAAGAAUAUGUGGACAUACAUAUACUUAGACAAAUUAAGGUAACUAAAAGCUAUUUAAUAUUAUAGCUUUACAAGAAAAAGGGACAGUAGAUAACUUACUCUAGAAUGUUUUUCCAGCUGAUGUCAUUGUCCAAGCCACCUAGAUCUAGUCCUUCCCAAUCCUCCAAUGGAGUUGAGGCGUUUGAGUUGAUUGGGUCCUGCAUUUGAUCGGUUGAGGCAUUCUCUGGAGAAGCUGAGACCAAUGAAGGGGUGGAAUCGGCAGUUGGAAUGGCAGAGGAACUGAAUAACAGUGGAUUAGUGCUUUCAUCAUUACCAUCCAUUGCAUGCUCGGUGGUCGAGCAAGAACCAUGGAUUUGUGCCACCAUUUCUUGUUCCUUGAGGGGAACGCUUGAUUCAGGGUAAGCCUGAAGAUUAUUGGGUAACUGUGGAUUGCCUAAAUCUGAGAAGCCCGAGGUCAUUUGGAUUGGAUUCUGAGGAAGGCCGAGGAAGCCGUUCAUGAUCAGUCCCUCGAGCUGGCGGUUCAUUUGGAGGAGGUCGCCAAGAUUGUAGUUUUGAAGGGAGGCUGAACCCAAAAGACUACUCCUCGAGUCCAUAUAAGGUGGCGAAUUAUUACCUACGAGCUGAAAAAGGCUUUGCAGGAUUUGGAGCCUGGCUAAGUUUGCAGCAUCUGCCUGCAGCCUAAGAACAUUAUCUAAAGGGCUGGUCAAGUUGCCAAGGUUCUUAGCAGCAGCAAGAAAAUUAGGAAGGCUUGCAAGGAGAUCCAAAUCAGUUCUAGGCCGAUGGGUUACCGGGUCGAUACCCAUGAGGAGGAGCUUCUUUCUGAGAUGGGUGUUCCAAUAGUUCUUGAUUUCAUUAUCCGUCCUCCCAGGCAGCUGGGUGGCUAUCGUCGACCACCUGCAAAAUUUAGCCGAGGUAGAGGCAUAAUUAUUUAACUUCGGAAAAGAAGAUUUCUCUAAAAAGAAUUAUGAAAAUUUUCAUUCUUCUCAUUUUAAACCUGCGUACAAAUACUAAUUCAUCAAGAAUUCUGAACUAUUAAUUGUUUCGUCGUUCUUGAAACAAUAGUUCAUCAUCUUAUGGAUUUUUCCAUUCUAAUAUUUUUUUCACUUCAGAGCUAAUAAUAGUUAUCUUUUCUAUAUUAGUUGGGGAGGUAACAGAUAUGGAUUUUUCUAUUCUAAUAUUGUUUAACUUCAGAGCUAAUAUAUAAUCAAUAAUUAUCGUUUUUAUAUUCAUUGAGGUGAUAACGGAUAGGAUGGCAAGGCAUAGCUUCUAAAAGUGAAGAACUAUAUCAGUCGAAGCUAAUCGUAUAAAAUAUAAGCUAAACAAAAGGGAAGUUGGCGAUUACUUGUUUCCAAGGACCGAAUGGAGGUGGAUAAUGAACCGUUCUUCAUCCUCCGAGAACUUCCCCCUCUUAAUACCCGGUCGGAGGUAGUUCGUCCACCGGAGGCGGCAGCUCUUCCCGCACCGAUUCAACCCUGCAUUCUUCGGUAGGUUCCUCCAGCUCCCAUGGCCAUGCUUCUGAAUGUACUCCACCAGCUUCUUGUCCUCCUCCGGCGUCCAUGGGCCUUUCUUCACACCGACCUCAUCACAGCAAGGAGACCUCCCCAUAUUAUUUCCUGCAAUUAAACCAAAGCCAAAGUUAAAAGAGGCUGCACAAGUGUCUCCUGCUUGCUUUGGGGAUGAGAUUAAAAACCAACGUCGUCAACCUUAGACUGAGAGGAAUAAGAGAGAAGGUUAAUUCGGUGGGAGGAUUGGCCAGGUGAUGUGCUGGUUUUAUAGGGUUUUGGGCUGACCCUGGUCUGUCUCUUCCAAAUGUGAUAGGUGUACUUUUAACCCAUGGAUUUUACUUGCCCUUCGCCGACCAUCCAUCCAUACGAUGCUUUAGUUGUUAUCUUUGCCAUUUCCGAGCAUAGACGGUCGAGAAAGCUUGUGAUUAUAUAUUUAUAUAUCACAUGCAUCCACGUACCAUAUUCUGCAUGUAGUUAUUUUGCUCUCAUAAUAUAUGUUUUAAAGAUGGUGGGGUGACCGAUGGGGUUUUUAGGAAAUCCGGGUUUUUGUCCCUUGUACUAUAAGGCAGCCUUCGCCCUUUUUGAGGUAUGAGGGAAGGGCACGUAAACAAGAAAAUAUGGGAUGGGUUAGGUUUGAGGUCUGACAAGUGGCAUACAGUCAUGGCAGGUCGGCUAGGCCACAUUUUGUCAACUACAAGCAAGAGGGGAUUUUCCCACUCUAAUUACAUCAUAUUUCCAUUGUUCUUUUUUUUUUUAAAUUAGUUGCAUCAAUUAAAUUUCUAGUGUAGAUAUAUUACCAUUGUUGAGAUAAUCAAGAAAUUUAGCAUUGAGUUAGGGUAAGUUACACCCCUUUUUUUUUUCUUUUUUUUGGGUUAAAAGAUAAAUCUAGGCUGUGAUUGGUUGGACCAAGUGGUGCCCUAAUUCUCCCAAAAUGAGUACUGAGGCCUAAUAAUAUGUGGAGGCUGCUCUAAGUAAUCUUAUUAGCAAUUUUUUUUAAGUGUAAGAGCCACAUGGAUGUAGCCUAACAUGGCAUGAUAGUGACAUUAACAUUGGCUAUAAAAUUAGAUCAAGGACAUACGAUUUGUUGAAAAUAAAUUUGUAAAUCAAUUUGGAUUUGACUGGGCAAGUUCCCCUUGCUUGUUAACUUUGCACUGCCAUCAUCAUAACCCAUGGGUAAACACCACACCUAUGGAGUUAAUUAACACAUAUUAGGAUUCUACGUUUAGAGUUAUUUAGUGACAGCAAUACCUAAUCUCAUGGAUGCACAUGGAUUUAGCCUGCAGAAACGAUACAAACAAAAAGUACUAAUUCAGUUUCAAUUGCGUUUGUAAUUUAGUUGCUCAAAGUAUUACAAUGAUAAAAUGUAUUUCUUCUCCCUUCUUUUAGUGUAUUGAACUCAAUUCACUUUGAAAAAAGACUACUUGGUUUUUCACAAAACCUGAAAUUAAACAGUAACAACAUUUUUGUGAAACUUAUUGUUGGGUGGAUGUCUGGCCAAGAUACCAUCUUCCAAAACCUUUUCAGUACCACGCGAUGCAGCAGGAAGAAAGAAGAAAUAAAACAAAACAAUCAAAAUACGUGGAUCAGCCACAAAAGGACUCGCCUCCACGGGGCAUGUAAAUUUCACUAUGAAAAAAAAAAUUUUACAAGAGGAGACCUUACUCUCAAUCCUUGUACACCGAAUUUUCUCUCUUUAGAAAUUUUCCUCUCAAAAACUUUCUCUCUCUUAGAAGACCCCCUGAACUCCUGAAGUGACCGGCAUCCGCUGUCCAGGAGCCCUGCUCCUUCUCUCAUAGCAGCCUCACGCCUCUCUCUCCUUCUCUUCUCGAGUUCCGCACAGCUUUCUCUGCAAAAAACCAAUCACUUGUUUUCCUCUAUACAUCAUAGGCCCUUUUAAAGGGUUAAACAUGAUUUAGAUUAGGUUUAGGACUCCUUAAUCAACCCAAAUCAAGUCCCAAACCGUUGGAUCAAAAUUGAGAGUCAUGCACGCCCUCCGAUCGCGCUUCGAUCCACGGAAUAGUACCGUGGACUGCGAGAAACACGUGAGAAAUGCCCACGCGGUCCACAGACCCAUCUAUGGACCGCCCGAUUCACGGUGGAUCGGGGUACAGGCCCAGACAGGGCGCCUAGGCCCGGGCCGGCCCGCGCACGUGGGGCUGGGCCGCACCCGUGUACGGGCUGGGGCUGCGCGCCNNNNNNNNNNNNNNNNNNNNGCCUAUGGCCGCGCCGCUACAGCUCCACUGGCCCGUCGUCGGCUGCCGGCGGUCCUCCGCUGUCUCGAAUCUCAUGCCGACUUCAAAAGCUUAUAUCUCCUCCAUCCGAGCUCCAUUUGGGGUGAUCUUGAUUUCGUUGGACUCUGUUUUUUGUCGCGAACCUUGUUGUGGGCUCAAUGUGGACUGAAUCUCGAGGUAUCAAAUCCUAACAAUCUCCACCUCGACUCGAUAUUCGGCCUUCUCCAAACUUCAAGAGCUUCUGAAUAUCCUCGAUCCCAUGCCCUGGGGCAAUCGCCUGCUGAUCAUGGAUGGGCAAAUAUGGGAGUCGAGCCAGGCUGCUCGAUUCCAUCUCCAUCGUAUGCUGUGCUCCUCCUGACCUGAGACCUGCUCGGAGCAUCAUCCUGCGACAAUAGGAAUCUUACCUUACGACGUCGCCUCUCGUCCUCCCGAGUCUCCUGUCUCAUGCCCGAUCCGCCUCGUGGAGCUCUACCUCGCUCUGGACUCCGUCUGGCUCCCGAAGCUCCACUUCGCACUGGGCUCCCCGUCAGGUAAUAAUGUCCUCUGCUCUCCUUCUUCCCCUCCAGCAUAAUCUUAUCACCGCGUAGCACCCUCAGGAUUCCUCCAUCAGCUACCAUCCUGUAGCCUCUCGAAUCCAGUCUGCUAAGUGAGAUAAGAUUCCAUCUGAAAUUGGGUAUGUAUCAGACCUCCUUCAAUCUCCUCACUGCACCAUCAUGUGUCCUCCAGCUGACCGUCCCAAUACCUUUGAUCGCACAGCUCGAUCCAUCUGGCAGAUAUACAGUGCCCUCACUGUUCUCCAGGGAGUCAAACUGCUCCUCUCUGCAACAUACAUGAUAGGGGCAUGCAGAAUCUAAUAUCCACUGCUGGAAAGAAGUAAAUACCUUAUCAAAUAUCUCCAGAACAUCUCCAUCUGAAUCGCUGCUGGCCGUCGCUACAGCAGCCACUGUCCGAUUUUUGAGUUGAGGGCAAUCUCUGGCUAGAUGCCCCAACUCUUCACACCGGUAACACCUGGUUUUGCUCAAGUCCCUCCUAGAUUGGACCGCCCUCGUUGCGAUCUCCUAUCGCUCUGUCUACCAUCUCCUGCUCCUCCAGAAGCCACCAAAGCUGAGCUACCGCCACCUGAGCUCGAAACUGGGUUCUCCCUCCUGAGAACCUCAUUCUGGAGUAUCGCCGCGGUGAUCUCGUUCAUCUUGAUGGUGCUCUUCCCCACUAGAGGAGCAGUCACCAAGGACUCGUACGAAGGUGGAAGCGAUGCUAGCAAAAUCAGCGCCCUGAACUUCUCCUCAACAUUCUCACCAAUGCUGAGGAGGUCGAUGAGGAUCUUCUGGAAGUGGUUCAGAUGCUCCUGCAUGCUCUGUCCCUCAGUCAUCUGCAGUUGGUAGAACUGCCUCCAGAGGAAAAGAGUGUUGGUGAGAGACUUUGCCAUGUACAACUCCUCGAGCUUCGACCACAGCACCGUCGGAGAAGUCUCGCUCAGUACAUGGAUCACCACCUCAUCCGUCAGGUACAUACGGAUGGUACUCACCGCCUGCAUCUGUAGUCGUUUUCGAUCUCNNNNNNNNNNNNNNNNNNNNGGGUGGAUGUCUGGCCAGGACACCACCUCCCAAGACUUUUUCAGUACCAUACGAUGCAGCAGGAAGAAAGAAGAAAUAAAAUAAAACAAUCAAAAUACGUGGAUCAGCCAUAAAAGGGCUCGUCUCCACAGGACAUGCAAACUUCACUAUGAAAAAGAAAAUUUUACAAGAGGAGACCUCACCCUCAACCCUUGUACACCCAAUUCUCUCUCUAGAAGUUCCUCUCUCAAAAACUCUCUCUCUCUCUUGGAAGACCCCCUGAAUCCCUGAAGUGACCGACGUCCGCUGUCCAGGAGCCCUGCUCCUUCUCUCACAGCGGCCUCACGCCUCUCUCUCCUUCUCUUCUCGGGUUCCGCACGGCUUCCUCUACAAAAAAAACCAAUCACCUGUUUUCCUCUGUGCGUUACAGGCCCUUUUAAAGGGUUAAACAUAAUUUAGAUUUGGUUUAGGACUCCUUAAUCAACCCAAAUCAAGUCCCAAGCCGUUGGAUCAAGAUCGGGAGUCACCCACGCCCUCCGAUCGCACUCCGAUCCAUGGAAUAGUGCCGUGGACUGCGAGAAACACGUAGGAAACGCCCAUGCGGUCCACAGGCUCACCCGUGGACCGCCCGGUCCACGGUGGAUCAGGGUACAAGCCUAGGCAGGGUGCUUGGGCCAGGGCCGGNNNNNNNNNNNNNNNNNNNNNNNNNNNNNNNNNNNNNNNNNNNNNNNNNNNNNNNNNNNNNNNNNNNNNNNNNNNNNNNNNNNNNNNNNNNNNNNNNNNNNNNNNNNNNNNNNNNNNNNNNNNNNNNNNNNNNNNNNNNNNNNNNNNNNNNNNNNNNNNNNNNNNNNNNNNNNNNNNNNNNNNNNNNNNNNNNNNNNNNNNNNNNNNNNNNNNNNNNNNNNNNNNNNNNNNNNNNNNNNNNNNNNNNNNNNNNNNNNNNNNNNNNNNNNNNNNNNNNNNNNNNNNNNNNNNNNNNNNNNNNNNNNNNNNNNNNNNNNNNNNNNNNNNNNNNNNNNNNNNNNNNNNNNNNNNNNNNNNNNNNNNNNNNNNNNNNNNNNNNNNNNNNNNNNNNNNNNNNNNNNNNNNNNNNNNNNNNNNNNNNNNNNNNNNNNNNNNNNNNNNNNNNNNNNNNNNNNNNNNNNNNNGCCGCCGGUGGUCCUCCACCGCCUCGUAUCUCGUGCCGAUUUUAAAAGCUCGUAUCUCUUCCAUCCGAGCUCCGUUUGGGAUGAUCUUGAUCUCCUUGGACUUCAUUUUUCGCCGCAAACCUUGCUGUGGGCUCAAUGUGAGCUAAAUCUCAAAGCGUCAAAUCCUAACACUUAUAACCUAUGUUCUGGUAGUGUUAACUCAUUUUCUUAGUUGCUGCCAAAUAGACCUAAUAAGAAGUAUUCCUGCCAAGUUGCCAACUUAUUGAUACGACUACCCUUCCAUCUUUAGUUCUAUUACAAACAAAGAGUACUAAUUCGGUUGCAUUGAAUUUGUUAUUUAGUUGCUCAAAAGUGUCACAAUGAUAAGAAAGUGUUUCUUCUCCCUUCUUUUGGUGUAUUGAACUCAGUUCCCAGACUAAGUUUUCCCAAAACCUGAAAACAGUAACAACGUCUCCGUGAAACUCACCUGUUAUCUGAUGGUGUUAACUUAUUUUCUUAGUGGUUAUCAAAUAGCCCUAAUAAAGAAUAUUCCUGCCAAGUAGCCAACUUGUUGAUAUAACCACCCCUCUACCUUCAGUUCUAUUACAAACAAAGAGCACUAAAUUCAGUUUGAAUUGGGUUUGUUAUUUAGUUGCUCAAAAGUGUUUCUUCUUUUGGUGUAUUAUUGAACUCAGUUCCCCUUUGAAAAAGGGCUACUUGAUUUUCACAAAACCUGAAAACAGUAACAACGUAUCCAUGAAACUUACCUGUUAUUUGGUGGUCUUGACUUAUUUUCUCAGCGGCUAUCAAAUAUUCCUGCCAAGUUGCCAACUUGUUGAUACGGCCAGUACCCCGCCACCUUCAGUUCUAUUACAAACAAAGAGUACAAAUUCAGUUUGAAUUGGGUUUGUUAUUUAGUUGCUCAAAAGUGUUACAAUGACAAGAAAGUAUUUCUUCUCCCUUUUUUGGGUGUAUUGAACUCAGUGUCCCUUUGAAAAAAGACUACUUGGUCUUCACAAAACCUGAAAACAGGAAUGUCUCCAUGAAUUUACCAGUUAUCUGAUGGUGUUAACUCAUUUUCUUAGUGGCUAUCAAAUAGCCCUGGCUAAUAAGGAGUAUGCCUGCCAAGUUACCAACUUGUUGAUAUAUAUGACCAACCCUUCACCUUCAGUUCCAUCCUCGCUCUGUCAAUAUUCAAGCUCCUUGAUCUUUGGGAGGUGAUCAUCUGGACAUUUGCAGAGCGAGUGAAUGUAUAAAACGUAGAAAAAGAAAUCAGAUGCUCUCAUAAUCAGCCUAAUCCUUUCUUGAAGUCGCUAAUAUGCAAAUUAUCAUUGCCUUUUAUAAUUUGUUUAGCUCUUCACCCAACAAUGUUUAUAAUAGUAGAGGCAGCCAACCUCCACGCCAUUUUGCUUACUGGUCCAUGGCCACCUCAGAUAGUAAGAAAGACUGAUCAAUUUAGACCAUCCAUGACAUGAUUGAAGACCAUAAAAUGGUGUUUUUCUUAAUAUGUUCAUGAACUAACGAAUUCAACAUAUGAUGAAAAAUAAAUUAUGGUUAGGUUUAAAACAUUUGGACUGGCAGAACAUAGACGACUGCCAACCUCAUUUCUGAGGGGAGUUUGUCAACGAUAAUCCUCAGAGACUGUCAUCCUAUCAUUGGCUUGACGAAUGACCGAAAACAAUAAUAGUGGGUCUAUCAUUUGAAACUGCCUUCCAUUUUCAAAAUUGCUGAACAAAGAAUUCACCUUAGGGUAGGCUGGAGAUUUUUCGGUCCAUUAUUAUGCCACGGUGCUCUUCAUUUAACAUUGGAAAUCAAUCUACUGUCUGCUCCUUAUCUCACAGAGAAAACCCCAUAUAGAUGGACGUCUUCCACCGAGAUCCUGCAUGAGAAUUAAGUGCUAGUGUUUUUUCUGUGUUUUUAAUAUGGGUCAAGUGUUUUUAAGGGGUAGAUGAACAAAUUCCUUAAAACGUCACACGCAAGGAGAAGAAAACGAAUUCUAAUAAAUUACCAAUUCAUUAGACAUCACAUAGAAUAUGAACACGGCUAUUUUUCUUUGCAAAACACAUUGCAGCACAUUUUUCAAUCUUCUUAUGGGUAGCUCAUGAAUUGGUAGAGGUAGGUAGAACCAUGGAUGCAUGGGACGGCGGUUAACACGACCAUAGGAGUUUGAACUCCUCAGGUACCUGCCAGUGAAGGGAAAAAGGUAAUAGAUGAAGACUUUUUUGCAGUGCAUAUUCUCUCUGACAUCUGACUAUCUAGUUAGAAAAUUCUUUUGAUAUAUGAUUAUCUUUUCAGAUUAUUUUGUCUUCAUGAUGCAGUCAUUAUCCGGUCUUUUUUUUCGAGGUAGCAUAAUUUUUUUCCAUGUUGAUUAACAAACAAAAAUGACUAUAUAUCUAUAUAACAUAUCUUAAACAUGCUAAUAAACUGGUGGCAAGCUUGUUAAUGUUAUGUUUGAGCCUUUAGGUGAAAAUUUAUGGAAAAUAGAUGCACGGGCAUAAAUUAUAUUACCCAUCAGACAGAAAAUGGAAGAUGGGAUAAACAGGAGUUUGGUGACAGUGGGAGCCAAUUUAAUUAUAUCCAAUAAAAGUAGCAACUGUAUAUUGGUUCUAACCAUGGGUAAGAACCUGUUUCUUAACAUCAAAUUUAAAGGACCUUGCUUCUCCUUAAACUGAUCAACAUAUUCUUUUCUCAAUAUUAGUCAUCUUCUUGAAAGUAUCUAAAAAAUUGCAUGACAAGUGUGCAUAUAUAACAUUUAUUCUUAAGAAUUUUCUUGUGGCAUCCCUGAUGCCGCGUUAGCUAGUCCAGCUUAGCCAAAAAUAGUACAACUUUACUUCGAUUUUCUUGGCUUUUCAUUUUCUUUCCUCUUCUUUUCUUUUAGUCGAGGAACUAGAAGCAUAUCCAUAUCACAAAGGAAGAACAUGGCAUCAAUUAGAUGCCCUAGAUGGGUGUCAUUAUUGUAUAAUUUAACAGUUGCCCUAUUUCGUAGCAGCUAAUCUAAGCAGUUAGGGAUAUAUAUUGUAUUAUUGGUCAUUGUAGACCCCUUUGAUCAUGUGCCUCUUUAGGUCCAUGUGCCAUGGUCUUUCUCACAUCAUCUCAAACAAAUGGUCAAUGUGAGGUGUUAUAAGAAAAUAAUGUUCCUUGGACCUGUAUCUUACUUGCUUUUCAUCUUACCUCAUGUAUUACAUCCAUCGGCCUCUUAUUGAUGACAAAGUAUUGGUUAGACCAUUCAACAUUACUUACCCAACCGAUCGAGAAGCUUUCCGACAAGCCACACAUUAUUACUUAAGAGUUUACUUCUCCAACUUUGCUACCUCAGUAUGAAAACGGAAGAAGACCACCCUGGUCUUAAUCAACUGGAAUAGACACAGCACCAUUUCCGUCUAGUACUUCUCUUAGUCUGUGACUUCAGGAUGACUUCAUCAGAGAUUUGGCAAUUGGAAUGGCGGCCCAAAUUGUUUAGUACCUCGUGAAAUUUUUUGUGCACCGCGCAUGGUGCAGAAAAUUCGACAUUGAGUGCACUAUCUUAUUCGAUUGGUACAUAUAGUCAUCAUUUUUCAACAUGCAUUUAAUGUCUAUAGUUCUUUUUUUUACUUAAAAAUUUUUGAUGACAAAAAUAUCCCUGCUCUUUAAAAAAAAUUAUGACAUCUUAUGGCAUAUUAUGACAUCCUGCAUCGUAUUAUGACAUCCUGUGUAAAAAAGUUAUGACAUACUGUGGCAUAUUAUGUUUUCGUAUACAUACGAAAUCAUAAUUUAGCUCAGGAUGUUACAAUAUGGAAGGGAUAUUUUUGUCCGACCACUUUCCAACGUGCAUUUAAUGACUGUAGCUUUAUUUUUUUUAAAAAAAAUUUAAAUGAUGAAAAUAUCUUUAUUGUUUGAAAAAAAUUGUGAUAUCCUGUGUAUAUUAUGACAUUCUGCAUUAUAUUAUGACAUUUUACGGAUAAAAAUUAUGACUUUCUGGAUGCAGGAUGUCAUAAUUUUUUUGAAGAACAGGGACAUUUUCAUCAUUCAAAAUUUUAAAUGAAAAAGUAAAAUUAUAGGCAUUAAAUAUGCGUUGAAAAGUGAUGGCUACGUAGACCAAUGGGAUAAAAUAGUGCACUUUACGUUGGAUUUUCUAAACUACCUGCGAUGCACAAAGAAUUUCUCAUAUUACCUCUAUCUCCUAGAACAAUUGCACAUGUUGAGGCUUCAAAUUUCCAUUUCUUCCCCUACAAGAACAUUAAGUACCAGCAUUUAUUCCAUUUCUAUUAGGAUCCAUUUGGUUGGGAGUAAUCUGGCAUGAAAGAAUGAAUAUAAAACAAAUAUUUGAUAUAAAAAAAAAAGAAAGAGAGAGAUGGUAAAAAAAAUGAUGGGCUCCAUGCUUAUUUUUCAGAGAGAGAAUAUAAAACAAAUAUCAUGGGAGAUUGAUAUUUGAUAAAUUCAAAAGUGAUGGUAAUCCAUACUCGAUAAAAAUAUCUCUAAUAAAGCUGCAUAUGUAAUCACUGAAUUUGAUUGAUAUCUUUUCAAAUAUAUUCAAUAGAGAGCUUUUGCAAAAAAAUUAAGAUAGAAAUGACAUUAUGUAAAGGGCUAUAUGAUUAUAGUCAUUAUAUAAAAACUAAUUGAAAAUGACAAUGCAAUUCUAGUAUUAAAAAAUUAUUCUAUAUUAAAGAAUAUAUUUAUAAAUUUGAUCAUAUUCCUAUAUAGAUUUACCUCCAACCAAAUGUUGUAUUCUCUUUCUAGUAUCAUUUUUCGAAGUAAUUUUUUCAUCAACCAAUAAUAAUAAAAAUUAUUUUUUUAUAAUUAUUUUUUAAAUAAAUAAUUUUUAAAAAUUAUUAGAUUAUCCUGUAAUUUAUCAUACGCCAAUCAAAUGAGUCCUAAGUUGUUGUUCUUUACAAAAUGUGACCUUAAUUGUAUGAUGUGCCUCUGUAGGAAAGGGAAAAGUGAAAAAGUAGAGUUACUGCACUAUGUAUUAAAUUGAAUUGAUUACACUUAUAAUCUUAAGUUUACAACAGAUUUUUAAUAAAUGUCAAAACUUUAAAAGUUAAAAUUUGAUCUUUUUUUUUCAAUUAUUUUAAUAUUAUCUUUCAUAACCGAUAACUUUAUCACACUAGAAGUUUAUGUUAGCCUUAUUCGAUAAUUAUAUGGUCAAUUAUAUGGUAGAAACCACUUAGAUAGAUGAUUGCAUGGCCGAUUAGUGAUAUCAUGAUAUGUGAGUGAUGACGUAGCAUAUCAGAUGAAAAUUUUUAUUUUGAUGUUGUGAUAUAUGAAUGAUAAUAUGACAUAUAGGUGAUGAUCCAUCAUAUGUUGUAAAAGUUUCUAUUCAAAAAUUUCUAAUUAUCUAAUAUCAUGUCAUUACUUAUAUAUCAUAUAAAAACAUAUGUGCAAUUUAGAGAAUUAAAAAUAUAAUUUAUGUACUUGGAUAAUGAUAUGGUAUUUGGUGAUUAGAUAUUUUUAAGCAAAAAAAUUCAUAGCAUGUACCAUCUCAUCUCCCAUACGUCAUUUCAUCAUUCAUAUAUUUUAUCAUUAAAAUAAAAAUUUUUAUAUAUCGGAUCAUCAUCAAUCGGUCAUGUAAUUAUCUAUUUAAAUAGUUUUUAUCAUGUAAUCACCAAUUAAUGCUAGUAAUAAAUUUUGAUAAGAAAAAAUAGCCGCAAUAUUUAAUAUAGUCCUCUAUAUUUUUUUUUUCCCCUCAAAAAUUACAAAAGACCAUUUAAACAAAUCCAAUCUUUUAAAAAUGUUGGUACCAUGAAGCCUACAGUUCUGAUUUAUCUAUGUACCUGUGAAAUCACUCCUUUGCCGGUUCAUGGUCACAUUUUCAUUGUUUGGACAGUUUUCUUGUUCCAUCAUAGCUUGGAAACAUAUCACGACCAUCAGAUUGGCGGACGACCCCUUUUUUUCAAAAAAAAAACUUUCAGAAUGCAAGCGAGAUUAAAAGACCAACCAAUGUCAUGAGUUAAUGAACGGGAUGCAACGACAACAUUGAACAUUGUAGUAGGCGACCCAUCCCCAUUUGAUAUAUCCUUGUGAUUGUAUUUGGUGCAUUAUCACAUAAUUUUAGAAGAUGAUAUGAAAUAUUUUAAAAAUAGAUUAUCAUCAUUAAAUUAUCAAUAAUAUUGAUUAUUAUAUUUGAUACAUAUAAAUAAUAUUAUAAUAAAAUUAUUGAAAAUCUUAAUUGACAUAUUUGGUAUGACAAUCAAAUUAUCAGUAAUAUAAACUUAAAAUUUUAAAAUAUUCUUAAUAAUUUUGUUUUGAUGUUUUUUUUUUGAUGAGCAGUAACGACAGUGAUGCGGAUAUGGUAAUGAUGUGGAGAAAUGAUGGGUUGAGAGUCGUGAGAAACCUCGGGCAUCGAGGGGUGGGGAGGGGGCGGGCAUGUGUGGAACUGUGGAGUUGGUGGAAAUAUGUAUGAAGGAGCCACGAAGGGGGUGAUAGGGGAUAACAGUCAUAGGCAGACAAAAGAAGAUGGAAGAACCGCGGGCUCGAGAUGCAUAUAGAGGAUGAGGGGGAGGGCAAUGGAUUAAAUGUGAUUUUUUUUAUAGAUUAUUUUAUUCAACCACCUCUCUUCAAGGCAAUUCAGAUUGUCUUAAAGAUAAUUUGAGUUGCCAAGAUAAUAUGAAUUAUCAUACAAAAAAUAUAUUAGAUAAUUAUCAUAUUAAAUUGUCAGCCUACCAAACACGGCCUAUAUACAAUAAUGCUAGUGAAUCCGGUUAUCAAAAAAUAAAAUAAAAUAAAAAUAAAUAAAAAUAAUACUCGCGAACCACAUAGACCCAAGACCGAGUCCCUUGGCUCAGGAGGCAGCCCUCCCUUCUCAAGUCUUCAGAAAAGAGCAGGCAUGUUCUUACAAGUCCCCACCGCCUUCGUAAUGGAUGAAGCAGGAUUGUUCCGACGGACCGCAUUUUGUAUGAUCUGAUUUUUGUUUCCUUACCCAUCUUUUAUCAUACAGAGUGCAUUUGUAGACGGAAGCUGAAUCCACUUCUGUAAUUUCGAAGAAUUCUUUUCUUGUUUAUUCUUUGUUGUACGACCAUGUUUAAUAAGAUUUGAUCUCUAUGUAAAUGCACAGUAUUCUUCUAGAUUUGUUAAAAGAAAAGAAAAGAAAAGAAAAGAAAAGAGAAAAAAAAAAAAAAAAAAAAAAGA
Molecule: long non-coding RNA, 17333 nt
Filed under: Elaeis guineensis (African oil palm)
Lineage: Eukaryota; Viridiplantae; Streptophyta; Magnoliopsida; Arecales; Arecaceae
Description: long non-coding RNA (EGUI_LNC023877)
Source: RNAcentral